Molecule: ribosomal RNA, 466 nt
Filed under: uncultured bacterium
Lineage: Bacteria
Description: partial 16S ribosomal RNA
Rfam family: Bacterial small subunit ribosomal RNA
Source: RNAcentral
ACGAACGCUGGCGGCGUGCUUAACACAUGCAGGUCGAACGGAAAGGCCUCUUUCGGGGGGUACUCGAGUGGCGAACGGGUGAGUAACACGUGAGUAACCUGCCCUUGACUUUGGGAUAACUUCAGGAAACUGGGGCUAAUACCGGAUAGGAGCUCCUGCUGCAUGGUGGGGGUUGGAAAGUUUCGGCGGUUGGGGAUGGACUCGCGGCUUAUCAGCUUGUUGGUGGGGUAGUGGCUUACCAAGGCUUUGACGGGUAGCCGGCCUGAGAGGGUGACCGGCCACAUUGGGACUGAGAUACGGCCCAGACUCCUACGGGAGGCAGCAGUGGGGAAUAUUGCACAAUGGGUGGAAGCCUGAUGCAGCAACGCCGUGUGCGGGAUGACGGCCUUCGGGUUGUAAACCGCUUUCGCUCAUGACGAAGCUUUGUGUGACGGUAGUGGGUAAAGAAGCACCGGCUAACUACGUG